Arabidopsis lyrata subsp. lyrata is the source of this 766-nucleotide long non-coding RNA. RefSeq lists it as uncharacterized. The record is from RefSeq and is a predicted model, not a curated record. Lineage: Eukaryota; Viridiplantae; Streptophyta; Magnoliopsida; Brassicales; Brassicaceae. The transcript is spliced from 3 exons.
UACUUUUACAGAUUCAUGUAUGUUAAGUGGCUUCUAGUAGCAUAAACUUGCUAUACUAAGUAAUAUGGAAGACACAUUGUUUCAACACUUCUCCAAUUGUUCCACUUUUGUUCUAUAGCUUUUUUCGGAUUGAGUAAGGAGAACUCUUGUCUAUGUGGGAACCAUUCAGAAUUAUUUUUACUAUACUAAGAAAAUACAACAAGUGGUUUACUAGUAGCACACAAGUUUAAAACUCAAAUCCAACUACUCUUUGGUCUUGGCUUAGCUUUGGGGUAGUCCGAUUCUAUUGGCUCUAGCUAGUGCUGAUUGAGUAAGGAGGAUUCAUUUGUAUGUGGAACCACUUCGAAAAUACUUUUACUAAUCUGAGUAAGAUUGAAACCAAGACGUUAAACAAAACACGUUGGAGAUGAAGAUGAUGAGGUGGCAGUUUGUUGGUCGUGUGUUUUAUUUUAAUUUAUUUAGGCAUAUAUAGCCAUUAUUAUUCGGUAACAUUAUAAGAUCAAAAUGUCACAAUGCUAACGCAUGACUUGAGAUUCCAACAUUUUAGUCAUAACUCAAAGGACACACGGGACACAUUUGUCCAAAUCACUCAUCUGGCUCACUAGUCCGGAUUAGAACUUAUGGUCCCAAAGAGAUGGGAGAGAGAGCAGGUGAUGGGAUACACUUGAUCUCUGAACUUCAUAGAUGACACUAUAUGUUAAAUUGAAAGCUAUCUAAAUGAUCGGAUAUUGAAGUCUCUUAUCAACCCUACGGAACCCAUCUUGCG